RNAcentral lists this ribosomal RNA (496 nucleotides) under uncultured bacterium. Its description in RNAcentral is "partial 16S ribosomal RNA". It matches the Rfam family "Bacterial small subunit ribosomal RNA", at positions 28 to 507 of the family's 1533-position model. The record is from RNAcentral.
GAUGAACGCUGGCGGCGUGCCUAAUACAUGCAAGUCGAGCGAACGGACGAGAAGCUUGCUUCUCUGAUGUUAGCGGCGGACGGGUGAGUAACACGUGGAUAACCUACCUAUAAGACUGGGAUAACUUCGGGAAACCGGAGCUAAUACCGGAUAAUAUUUUGAACCGCAUGGUUCAAAAGUGAAAGACGGUCUUGCUGUCACUUAUAGAUGGAUCCGCGCUGCAUUGCUAGUUGGUAAGGUAACGGCUUACCAAGGCAACGAUGCAUAGCCGACCUGAGAGGGUGAUCGGCCACACUGGAACUGAGACACGGUCCAGACUCCUACGGGAGGCAGCAGUAGGGAAUCUUCCGCAAUGGGCGAAAGCCUGACGGAGCAACGCCGCGUGAGUGAUGAAGGUCUUCGGAUCGUAAAACUCUGUUAUUAGGGAAGAACAUAUGUGUAAGUAACUGUGCACAUCUUGACGGUACCUAAUCAGAAAGCCACGGCUAACUACGUG